RNAcentral lists this ribosomal RNA (327 nucleotides) under uncultured Anaerolineaceae bacterium. RNAcentral's name for it is "bacterial SSU rRNA". It matches the Rfam family "Bacterial small subunit ribosomal RNA", at positions 1041 to 1382 of the family's 1533-position model. The record is from RNAcentral. Lineage: Bacteria; Bacillati; Chloroflexota; Anaerolineae; Anaerolineales; Anaerolineaceae.
UUGCAUGGCUGUCGUCAGCUCGUGUCGUGAGAUGUCGGUUAAGUCCGCUAACGAGCGCAACCCUCGUCGUAUGUUAUAUGUGUCAUACGAGACUGCCGGUAAAAAGACCGGAGGAAGGUGAGGAUGAUGUCAAGUCAGCAUGACCUUUAUAUCCAGGGCUACACACACGCUACAAUGGUCUGUACAAUGGGUAGCCAAGCCGCGAGGCGGAGCCAAUCCUGAAAGCAGGCCUCAGUUCAGAUUGCAGUCUGCAACUCGACUGCAUGAAGCCGGAGUUGCUAGUAACCGCAGGUCAGCAAUACUGCGGUGAAUACGUUCCCGGGUCUU